This is a long non-coding RNA of Gallus gallus (chicken), 402 nucleotides long. Lineage: Eukaryota; Metazoa; Chordata; Aves; Galliformes; Phasianidae. The record is from Ensembl.
CUAUGGGGUGGUGUGGUUAGCUCAUGAGGGGAACUCUUACCACAGACAAGCAGCUUCUCUAGGGGCUUCUGAGAGAGCAGAAAUAUUGCACUUCGAGUGAAGUGUCAUAGAGAGGGAAGCAAAUGGUUCCAUGGAACAACCUCCUUGAGCAGGGUGAGCCCUGCCUCCAACUUCGGGUGCUGAAAUCGGUGGAAAGUCCCUCAGGAUUUCAAGAUAUGAUCUGCAAGUGAAGGAUGGUGGCUUGAAGGUCACUCUACAGGGCCUAGCAGGCAGCCAGCAAUCUUCAAAGAUCUGGAACCACUGUAUUUUCCAGAAGAGCCUCAGCUGAGAUUUUCAGCUCUGCACCACUCAAUACCAAGUCCUGUGGACAAACUCACAUCCCUUUAAGCACUGAGACAUGCA